RNA transcript from Hipposideros armiger (great roundleaf bat), 5919 nucleotides. It is a transcript of the gene named type II inositol 3,4-bisphosphate 4-phosphatase-like, with no coding region annotated. The transcript is spliced from 3 exons. NCBI's taxonomy places the organism in Eukaryota, Metazoa, Chordata, Mammalia, Chiroptera, Hipposideridae. The record is from RefSeq and is a predicted model, not a curated record.
CACAAUUUCAAGAACAAAAUGAUUUAAAAGGAUUACUAGAAAAUCUCCAUCAAAAUAUCCAAGCCAAAAAAAGGAAGAAUGUAGAAAUCAUGUGGCUGGCUGCAACGAUUUGUCGCAAACUAAAUGGUAUCCGUUUUACCUGCUGUAAAAGUGCCAAAGACAGGACGUCGAUGUCAGUGACGCUUGAACAGUGUUCGAUCUUGAGAGAUGAGCACCAGUUGCACAAGGACUUCUUUAUUCGAGCACUGGAUUGUAUGAGAAGAGAAGGAUGCCGCAUAGAGAAUGUACUGAAGAAUAUCAAAUGCAGAAAGUAUGCUUUCAACGUGCUACAGCUGAUGGCUUUCCCCAAGUACUACAGGCCUCCAGAGGGGACUUAUGGAAAAGCUGACACCUAAGCUUACCAACAUGUAAAUAAACAGGAACACACAUUCGCUUCAGUGGGAUAAUCUCUACCUUUUUCAUUUUUUUUUUAUUAUUGUGAAUUUGUGGAGGGAGGUGAUCAAGGAUGUUUGCCCAAAUCUAGGAAUUACUUGAAUCAGUGAUGAGCAUAUUACUCUGAAAGAAAUCCAUUAAAAAAAAAACUCUUAUGUACUAUGGCCCUUCCUAGUCCUAAAUUUCUAAGUGUUGACUCUCGCUGGUUGAGAUCAGCUUGGAAAGUGUAACUUUCAUUCAUGGAGUAUUUUAGUGAAAGAUAUUCUGAGAAAACAUCGGUGCCACAGAGGACUUGAGGUGAGUCAGAGUGGCGCUCUCCCUCCACAGUGGAGAGAGGGGGAGAGGGUCCUUGUGAUAUUAUUUCAUAGCCUUUCUCACACAUAAUCUUGGAGUCCCUUUUUGAGAUUAAAACAUAUAUUUUUCUAGUGAACUGAAAUUAGGUAGCAGUAACUCAUGAUCUUGACUACAGCACAGUUUACAGGUACGCCCGUCAAGAUUUUUUUCCUCCGGCUGAGAUGUGACUUCCUCCUCCUAAACAGGUAGCUGAACAGUGUUAGUAAAGCCGUAAAAAUACUUUUCAAAAACACGGCAUCCUUUCAACAUUCUGAUGACUUGGGUUGCAUGGCCCAGUUGUAGAAGUGGCAGCAGAGAAAGUUUGUUAGUGUAAUAAGCAAAGCACUGCAAGGAACUCAACCUGCAAGGAAACUAAAAAGAAUCAGCCUGUUGAUGUCCAAAAUGAAUUCCCCAUCAGCCUGAACUGUAUGUAGUCAAGUUCAUGAAAGUCCAUAAGAUAUCUUUGAGAUGUUUUCUAGCCAUCAUCUUGGUAUAGACUAUAGAUGGUGUAAGUAUGCAUUGUCUGGCAUAGAUUAGUAUGUGUGAAUAAACCUUUGAAAACAUAUGCAACCAUAGCUAAUGGUAAACCAAAACAAUUAUUUCUGUUAACCUGAAUGUCCAGUUUGUCCUUACAUAGUAAAAUAACACCAUAAAUUUUCCCAAAUCCCAAAUUAAGAGUUGCCUUAGAGAUCAUCUUGUAUGCCACCAUUGUAAGUGGGGAAAAUACAGCACAGGGAAGAUAUGCCCCUAAACACCCAGCUACAGCAUUUUAAAGCCAUGAUUACGAUCUCUUCUUACCUUUCUACAUUUGUUUCUUCUCCAAAUUCCUAUGCCAAAUAAAAAUGAAUAUUAGGGGAGAAUGCUAAUUAGUUAUAUAGAAAUUGACAUUUAUUACUGGAAUUAAAGCUUAGAUUACAGAUGAAACCUAUUUUCUCCAAAUUUUAAGGAUUUAUUCUUUUUUCCUUUCUCCUUAGAGGAGCAUGCCACCCAAAGCAUAAAUCUCCCUUGGAAAUGCCAGAGGCUUGUGAUAUAGACAUCUCUUAGCGAUGACCGUAUUUAAUGGGUGACCUCAUGAGGCGUUUUUCAUAGCUAAUGUGAUAGCUCCUUCACUAAGAUGCCUGUUGAGAUAAGGAUUCCACACAGAUCAUGGUGGGUUUUUCAAGUUACUAGAAAUUUUAGAUAACCCUCUGGGGUUUUUAAUACUAGAAUUAUCAAUCUAUUAUUUUAGUGAAUGGCUGUGCGCAUUAUAUUUGAGGCAGUUGCCAAACUACCUAUGGCCUUUUUAAUAAAAAGAGGCUGUGUGCUAUGCCUCUUUAUGGAUAAAGUUAUCUUGGUAUUCUCUCUUAUACCUCAUUCUCCAUUUCAGGGAUUAAAUAUAAUCUUUGAAUUGUUCAAUUACAUUCGAAAAUGGUAAGAUUGGUGGUUAUUUUCAUUAUCCCACUGGAUUUACGGUAAAGAGGUUGGGAUGAUGACAGAGGUUUCCUUGAAUAACCAUGAAGCCUCCUUCAGUAUAUCAAAUGGUAAUCUGAGUUCCCAGAGACUUUUGAGUGAUUUAUCAUCCUGUAAAUAAUCUUAUAAACAAGAAUUUUUGGUAGCAUUUGUAAAAAUGAAACCUCUUGACUCAUACAUGGAAAAAUAUUUAUUAACUAAAAAGCCAACAAUAGGGCUUUUUAAUUUGGGGAAUACAUUUCAAGGAUUUUUUUUAUUUUAUUUUAUAAUAACUACUAAGUUGAUGUUUCAAAGGGUAGGACUUACUAUACUACAAUUGAAGUUUUUUGUUUAUUAUUAACAUAGUCAUCUGCAUUUCCCUGUAGGAAGCCUGUAUUUAUGCAUAUAUUUAAAAGUGGAUUUUAUCAAGGAAAUUCAUGUUUUAUACAGACAACAUUUCCCCUUUCCUGAGAGAUAAUCAAUGUAUCCUUGGAAAAUUACUUUACUAUUUCUGAAGUUAUUAAGGCUUUCUAAAUCAAAGCGCCAAAGUUAAACAGUACGUUUUGAAGUCUCCUUUGUACAGACACAGCUUGUAAUGUUUUUUUAUCUAUAUUCUCGUUUGGAAGACACAUCAGCAGGCCUAUUUUAGGAGAUCAUGUCAAGCCAGAAAGUGAACCAAGAAAAUGACAUUUCCAAACAGGAUCAUUUUUUUUGGCUCAAAAAUGUCUCCCCUCUCUUGUCAUCAAAUGUAGAUAUCAAUUCUGUAUUUGCUAUUUACAACCUUACAGAAAGCAUAUUUAAAAAUAAGGGAAGGUGGAAUCUAGAUUAUGUGUGACCCAGUGACAAAAGAACCAGUGCCUGGGAGUGCUCCCCAGAGCAGCUGAACAUAAACAUUUGAAAUAUUUGAUUGAAAUAACCCCACCUCUAACAGAAAACCAUUCAUUUCUUUCUCAUGUGAUUGACUUUUUCUUGUAAAUAUUGCCUUGAGUUUGUCUACAGUCUGCCAGGACAGUCCUGUGAUGUGAAUAGUUUGGUCAAUCCAAUAAGCUGGUGAAUCAGAGCAACCAUUUGACCCAGCUGACAAACUGCACUAAAAUGACCAACUGCCCAGUUGGAGCAGUUUGGUCCACCUUGGACCUACUACCCUCCAGUCCGUACUCAUAAGACCAACACCUUUUCUUCUGAAAACUGUAAAGUCUUAAAAGCUAGCCUCUCAUCCGCAUGGAGGAAACUCCCCUUUUUUCCCCUCAACUAAAUAAGGCAUUUGACGUACAGUAAGAAUCCAGAUGGAAAAGAAAAACGUUUGUUAUAGAGGACUACUUUUCUUCCCAAGCACAACAAGCCCCUCCCUAUGUAAAGUUUGAUAGAUGCCAAGAAGAGGUGGUACCUGGGGUGUGCUGGAACUGACUGGAGCUGAUUCAUGAUAGUCGAUCAGCAAAUUAUCAGGAAUUGUAUAAGCCACUUGCUAAACACAGCCAUUAUUAAAUGUUCAAAUACAAUUGAACACAUUUUAUUAAAAGCAGAGGUAAUAAUCAUAACUACACACCCUAAUUAUUUUACUACAUUUCACAGUACACCUCUGUUCUUGAGGUCAUUUAUGUCCGUUGUAUCUGCACACCGUGUUAUAGCAUCCCUGCACAUACCCCCCGCUCCACGUUGGCCACUGGAAAUUGAACACUGCUACCAACCAGAGCCUUUAAUUCCUGGACAUCCAGUUGUUCAAUCCUCCUUGGCACACAAUUGAAUGCCACCACCACUUUUUUUUCAGAAAAUCACUGGAAGCAGUAUACAGUUAUUAAAAUGAUAUUAAAUGCAAUCACUCAUCUUCAAAUGGCUGCAAUGUUGUAGUUUUUACCCUCUUUAAAGACUCUGAUUGGGCUAUAAGUAACAUUUGAUGUUCAUAUUUUAUUCAUAAUUAAAUUGUUUAAUCAUAGAGAUGCAUUUCCAAACGCAUCUCUCUAUGAUGUUUGGCAAGGGAAAUCUUGGCAGUGCAACUUCAGUGUAAGCAAUAACAACUCCAGGCUAAAUUCAGGGACAUGUUAGUGUAAUUAGAGUAUCACUGAAAAUGUGCUUCAGUAUCAGUUUUUUAAUUUAUAAUUUUAGCAUUUGCUAAUCGCAAAAAACAAAGCAAAAAAAAAUUAACAUAUUACUGUACCCAGUUUCUAAUAAAUAUAGCUCCACUGAAACCCAAACUGUUAGGUUAAACAAAUUAAACUCUGGCAAGUAUGCUAAAUCACCACGGAUGUUUUAGGCGUUUGAUUUCCAAACAGGAUGGCAUAUCAAUUGUUUAGUUCAAUAGACAGGGUUCGUUUUGUAAUUGUGUAGGAAAUAAAUUAACUUUCAUCACACAUUUAAGAAACUGGUCUGAGAAAAACUGUGAUCAGCAGUUACGGAGGGAAGCAAACAUAUUGAACACAAGUUGUUCUUCAGAGCCUGAGGCUUUACAAAUGAAGCACUCCUGGAGAGAAUGAUUUGCUGAGAGCUGUGUCAUUGACUGACAAUCUUGGUGUGAAUUCACCUUCCGUUAGCCAAGCUGCAAACCGCAAAGGCUACGCUUUUUGUCUCGUGUUUACAUUUCAUUGCUUUAGAAAGGCAGUCCCCCUGUGUUAUACCUUUUAUUUCUCUGGCAGUUUUAAACGAGAACUUUCUCACCAAACAGCUGCUGCCUGUAGCAAAAGCUGCCUUUCAGAACAGGAAAAUAAAAUUGGUUUAGAUCAAAUAUUGCAAACCAGUUAGGUACAGAGUUAAGGUAUGGAAAUUUGGAUUUUUUUCUUUUUGAGUCAUAGUGCACGUGAGCCACGCUUUGAGUUUUAUUUCUGAGAAAGUAAAAGAGAGCCUGAAGCAUCUCUGAUGUCAAAGAAACAAACCGUAUCUGGUUAUUAGUAACAAGGAGGCAGGAAAAAAAUGUGAGGUAAUAACAAAAAGCAGUGUACACGCAAUCACCCCUCCUGACCUUGAAUUUUUAUAGAUUACAUGAAUAUUUAGAAUUUUAAAUUAUAGAAGCAAAACAAGGCUCACAAUUCAGGGUAGUACCCAGAGAGAGUGAAUAACAAGGGAGAGAAGACCGAAUACAAGUGACAUUCCCUGAUAAACCAUUUCUGGCUUAUCUUUUAGUAAAAAGUUAUUUAAGAAGAUGUUGCAUUUUCACACACAUAGUCUGAAUACAUUCAUAGCCUUCUUAAAAUCAUCCCAAUUAUUUCAAAGGGCACACAAUCCAACCGUACAUUUUUAAUGAUGUGGUUUUGUUAACUGGCAAACAAUAUUCACUCAACUAUUAUUGGCAAGAUCUCUAUAGUAACUAUAUAGUUUUGUGCUGCUUUUUUAUCACUAUCAAUAUUAAGAAAUAUUUCCCAUCAAACAACGUUCAUACUUUUAAAAGGCAGAUUCCAUGUAUCUAUAACACUGUAUAGACACCCGUUUCACUGUACUUGUGUAAUCCUUUGCACACAAAAAAACUUCUCAUGUGACUACUUUAUUAUUUUAUUUAACCUAACAUCUAAUUUUCAGAUUCUUGUGGUACUUAUCUGAAGUGUUGCCAUUUGUUUUUUAUAUUAAAUAUAUAUUCUAGAUGAACUAAUGUGUAUUCCUAGGAAAUGAGUCAUGAAUAGGUUAGAUCAUUUUAUGUUGGCAUGGAAAUACCAUUUUGUUUUAUUGUUCUGUGGAAACCAUAUUCAUUGUACACUGUGUGUAUAUUUUUGUUUAAAUAAAUGUGAUUUUUAUUUUUUA